GGGGCUGUAGCUCAGUCGGUAGAGCGCGUCGUUCGCAAUGACGAGGUUGUCGGUUCGAUCCCGAUCAGCUCCACCA
RNAcentral lists this transfer RNA (76 nucleotides) under Puniceicoccales bacterium. Its description in RNAcentral is "tRNA-Ala". It matches the Rfam family "tRNA". From Rfam's summary of the family: Transfer RNA (tRNA) molecules are approximately 80 nucleotides in length. The record is from RNAcentral. Lineage: Bacteria; Pseudomonadati; Verrucomicrobiota; Opitutia; Puniceicoccales.